ACACAUGCAAGUCGCACGCAGUUAAGGGGGCAACUCCUUGAUUGAGUGGCGCACGGGUGAGUAACACGUAGGUAACCUGCCCUUCACUGGGGAAUAACCUGUCGAAAGACGGGCUAAUUCCGCAUACGUCCAAGACUGCUCCGGCAGAUUUGGGGAAAGGCGGCCCGCAAGGGCUGUCGGUGAUGGAUGGGCCUGCGUACCAUUAGCUAGUUGGUAGGGUAAUGGCCUACCAAGGCUACGAUGGUUAGCUGGUCUGAGAGGAUGAUCAGCCACACUGGAACUGACACACGGUCCUGACUCCUACGGGAGGCAGCAGUGGGGAAUAUUGCGCAAUGGGCGAAAGCCUGACGCAGCAACGCCGCGUGAGGGAUGAAGGUUCUCGGAUUGUAAACCUCUGUCGGGGGGGACAAAACCUAUGCUGGCUAAUAUCCAGCAUAAUUGAUGGUACCCCCAAAGGAAGCACCGGCUAACUCCGUGCCAGCAGCCGCGGUAAUACGGAGGGUGCAAGCGUUGUUCGGAAUUAUUGGGCGUAAAGCGCACGUAGGUGGCUUUAGAAGUCCGGUGUGAAAUCCCUCGGCUUAACCGAGGAAGUGCGCCGGAAACCAUAAAGCUAGAGUAUCGGA
This 623-nucleotide ribosomal RNA is filed under the name uncultured bacterium. RNAcentral describes it as "bacterial SSU rRNA". It matches the Rfam family "Bacterial small subunit ribosomal RNA", at positions 51 to 653 of the family's 1533-position model. The record is from RNAcentral.